Long non-coding RNA from Phasianus colchicus (ring-necked pheasant), 3362 nucleotides. RefSeq lists it as uncharacterized. NCBI's taxonomy places the organism in Eukaryota, Metazoa, Chordata, Aves, Galliformes, Phasianidae. The record is from RefSeq and is a predicted model, not a curated record.
AUGUAUGUUUUCGUUAAGAUUAAGGAUUUUCGUUAAGUAUAACAUUUCCCUUGCUAAGCAGUAACUUUCAGAGCAGUUGCCCAGUGCUAUCUGUUUUUCUGAGAAACAUUUUUGUGAUGAUAAGCUUCAUACUUAGAAUGGUCAAAGUAUAAAAUAAUAAUCACACACUUCACAGUAGGUUAUUAAUAAUUGUUUAGCUCACUACAACUAGUAAUUUCUGAGAUAUUAAUUACUUUACCUGUGCUUAUGCUGAUUAGCUUAACAAUUCUCUCUCUCUUAGUUUGGAUAAAGAAAACCAUUUAAUUCUGUUUCAGAUGAGAAGUCUCAGAGAAGCAGUGUUUGGGUGGCAAUCAGUCAGCAAUAGUCAUUUAUUUAAAAACAAUUGUUUCCACUGUAGCUAAAAAUAUCAAAACAAAUCUUCCUGUCUACCAUCAUAUAAACAUUGUACAAAAUGUACAUUCUGGGACAAAUAGGAGUCCAGCUGGGCACCUUUUAUCUUUACAUUUUUAGGUUGUUCUCCGCCUCCGCUCCCCCCAUACCACCACAGUUAUUUAGAAGCCAGAAUUUCUUCUGAAAAACGCCCAAGCUCUAAGAACACAAACUUGUUUAAGCUGAGACCAUAUUUGGAAGUGAUCUGGGUCAAGAAAAAUAAUCAAAAGGAAAGUGCAUUCCUCGGGCAUCACGUGAGGUCAGCGUGCGCGCACACACAUCCUGCUCUUGGGAUCGGAUGUAGUGAAGGGAAGGGACCGUGCACGACGCUCAUGAAUAACUCACUGCGAUUACACUUGUGGCAAGGGCUGGUUUUAUACCAACACUGACACGCUGAGCACCUCAGUUCAUCUCCAGCCUACUUACAGGGCAGUCAGGCUAACUUAGAAAAAAGCUGCGCUAUGUUGAACAGCAGUGAGAGCGCAUGCCUGUGACAAAAAAUUAAAAAUUAAUUCUGGCAACCUCCACAGGCUCCAUUCUUACAAAUAAACAUAUUUGUUUCUUUAACCAUGGCAGUAGUUCUGAAAUAACAGCAGUUUCUCAUGAACAUAAGCAAAAACUUGUCCGUGACCCAGAACCAAAUAUUUCUUUACUUACCCACCCAAAAUACCACUCCCUGUUUAUUCAAGCACUGCAAGCGCCAGGGUAACUUAGAAAGCCAGGAACGAUUCACCUUGGGUAGGUAACAAAACACAUAAGCAGAGCUUGUUCUAACAAACAAAUACAAGUACAUCAGCCCUGCACUCUUCCAACAGCUGGGGACAGGAAUCUGCCCAGGUCAGAUUCCCUGGAAAGCACUGAAACAGGGAUGUUUAUAAAACUCUUCCCCUGUACACAUGGGAAAAACUAAGUGCACUCUUUCCAGUACUUAAUUCUCUCUUCUCUCAAGUUUUAUUCUCACCUUCACUAUUUUUUUUAUUUUUAUUUUUUUACCUUGUAUACUUGUUAAUUUGAAAAUUUAUUUCUUCUGUCUUAUAUGCAUUUAGCUCCUGUUUCCAUGUAUUCAGACACCAUUCCUGCAACUUUCUUCCCAGCAGCAGCACCCGUUAACUGAGUCUGAUCUGCAUCCUACUGCAUUUCUAGCAGAAAAUGACAAGCAAUAGUUACUAUACGUAUUUUCCUACUCCAAACAGUAAAAGGCUAACUCAAAGAAAAUGUGGAAGCAAGGAGAUACCAAUAUAUAUCUGAACAUUCUGAAACAAGAUUUUUAAAGAAAUGUCCGACUGUCCGAACUUGAAAGUGCUCUCCAUGAAAUACAUCAAAAUAUGUUACUCUUCUUGGAAAACAGUGUCAGAAGGUGAAACAAUUGCACAAAGUUGUAUGAAACAUAUCAACAUCCACUUUUUAACAGAAAGAAACCUGAUGUACUUAAAGGAAACCAUAAAUUUUUAGCUUGAGAUUUCUCUUUUAAAUUUUGAAAUGCAUUACUGUGUGCUUCUCUUUGUUCUACCCAAGGACUUACUGGAUUAACAUUGGAAAGUAUUACAUUAUGGGUGUUUUUAUACUGAAUGUAUGCUGUUAAUAUCAUCAUUACUUCCCUCUCCUGUAUUGAAAGUAAGACACAGACAUGAGAAUAACAGACAAUUGUAAAUAAAUGGAAAUGGCCAUUUAAAUUACCUGAAGAUUGGAAACCAAAGUUGUAAAUCUGUACAGCUAUGAUGCAGAUUGUAUGAUUUGUCUUCACCAGAGUUAAAGCAGUAUAUACACAGCUACUUUAAAAUGACACAUUUCUUCUCAGUGUCAGCUAAGAAAAGCUUUCUACAAAAGUCCUUUUGAAAGUCAUCAUCUCCAAAGUCGUGCAGCUGCCAGAACAAGAUGGUUCAAUUACUGCUGUUUAUGCUGCAAAUAAGUAGAGUCAGGAAAGCUAAACGAUUAGAGUAAGGAGUCCAUCACAAAUACUAAUGAUUAUGUGGAUGAGACCUCCAAAAAAAAAAAAAUUCUUUCCUGUCCCAGUAAUGUGGUAGCUUACUUACUGCAACGAUAGUCAAAAUCCGUGGAUCCAAUUCAUAAAUACUGUUAUCAAUUUUUACUUAAAGCCUAACAGUAAUAAAGACAACAACCCCAAGGACAAUCACAUUAAAUGCAUAUAUAAGAACACUGUAAAAAAAUGUGACAGUCAUAUAUUCAUUACAAAAGAGGCUUCUCUUUUUUUCUUCCUCUGAGUAUUUCUUUUUAAAUGAAACAGUCUUUCAUUCCUAUGACAGAGAAUGAGGAAAAAAAUAUAAUCCUAAAAUUCUGAUGUUUAGAAAAAAACCAUGGAAACUAUUUUCAUACUACAAAACAUUUCACUUUACAAAAAAAGAAAAAAAAAGGAAAAAAAGAAAAGAAAAAAGAACACCGAAGAGUUAUUCUGUUACCUGGAUCAUAAGGACAAAAUGGGAAACAAAAAGGAUGAGAAGAUUUUAAAACUAGACCAAGUAUUUCUGGAUAAAAUUCUCUCUGACAUUAGAAGGACAUUUGUAGAGAGAAUUCCUGUGUGUGGAACCAGCCAGAGAGAUGCUAUGGAUCAAUCAGGAGAAAAUCCUGCCUUUAUUUUUGUGUUUUAUCAUUAUUCCAGUAUAAACUGAUAUGGUGUGAAUCUUCCCCACAAUAUGAAGCAGGUACAUUCUAACAAUUUCCAACACAAAUCCCAACACUGUUUAAUUUACUUAACAGUAUAGCCUGCCAGGAAAAUUAAAAUCAUUUUAUUUUAUAUUCUUUAUGGUGUAAAGUAUAUAAACUGCACUUUUAAAUUAAGUCAUGCUUCGCCAAAACUGGUCUGCUUUGAGACUGCUAACUUUAGUGGAAAGAAUUAAGAUGUCUCAGCAAAUAUCAAUUUUCUGUUAUAAAAUGUCUGCAAGACAAAAUAAAAAAAAAAUCUUAAUUUACAAUAA